GCGGCCUCCGGGAACCACAAGCUGCAGGAAGGUGCAAACAACCAACAGCCCGCGUUGCAAUAAACCAACAUAGCAGCUUUUCACCCGCGGAAGCAGAUGCCUUCGCAGAAGUGUCUCGGGCUGAUAUGGCCCUCUUCCCAUCCCCUGACGGCGGAAGCCCACAAGGAGCCUCUAGCCCCAGAGCCCGGAGCCCGGAGCCUCUGGGGUCGAGCCCCCGGCCCUCCCGGUUUGCCCGACCCGGAGCAGACUUUCACUUUGCCCGGCUCCACGAACAGCUCCCACCUCCGAUCCGAUGAAGACUCGCAGCUACAGUCCCUGCCCCCUGGAACGACGACAUCAACAAAAGACUCUGAACACCAAACUGGACAGUUGUGAGAGUCAUAGAGAAAGGAAAUGCAGCCCAGUGGAGCUAAGAAGCACUUCCAUCAAAGCCAGACCUCGGUCAUCAGUGAGAUUCCUGCCAACCAGUGGUCACCGUCUCUCACCCAUCACAGGCACCCUGUUUGCUCGUUCUGUCCCCAGGAAUGAUGGCAGUCACACUCAGGCAAGUCCCUAAAGGGAGGCUCCUAGAUAGGAAUCUGGUAUGAGCCAAUCACAAGGCUGCCCUGCUGGCUUCUGUUUAGAACAAUAGUGCUCCCAGGACACCUCACUUUUGCUGAAAAUAUUGAUACUGAGGGAGCAUGAACACAGCUGUGUGUAAAUUACACACACAAACAGAUUAGCUCUAUCUGCUUAUAAGGAAUACAAACACACUAAUAAUGCAUCUGCAUUCACAGUCGGAGUCUUCUGCCCCC
RNAcentral lists this long non-coding RNA (794 nucleotides) under Rattus norvegicus (Norway rat). Its description in RNAcentral is "long non-coding RNA NONRATT023884". Lineage: Eukaryota; Metazoa; Chordata; Mammalia; Rodentia; Muridae. The record is from RNAcentral.